RNAcentral lists this ribosomal RNA (253 nucleotides) under uncultured bacterium. RNAcentral's name for it is "partial 16S ribosomal RNA". It matches the Rfam family "Bacterial small subunit ribosomal RNA", at positions 524 to 776 of the family's 1533-position model. The record is from RNAcentral.
UACGGAGGAUCCAAGCGUUAUCCGGAAUCAUUGGGUUUAAAGGGUCCGUAGGCGGUCAGGUAAGUCAGUGGUGAAAGCCCAUCGCUCAACGGUGGAACGGCCAUUGAUACUGCUUGACUUGAAUUACUAGGAAGUAACUAGAAUAUGUAGUGUAGCGGUGAAAUGCUUAGAGAUUACAUGGAAUACCAAUUGCGAAGGCAGGUUACUACUAAUGGAUUGACGCUGAUGGACGAAAGCGUGGGUAGCGAACAGG